CUGAAACGUAUUCUUAAUAAGUACUGUGUUUACCGGACAGCAAAGGGCCUCGAAAAGCAUCCAAUCUUCGUGUCUGCAUUACGGGCGAAAUGUUGAAUCGCAUUCAGAGCAUCUCGUCUUCGCUGGGCUGAAGGCGCACCUCCAUUUUUCGCAGCCGGGAAUGAAGCUCUCUGGUGUGCAGGAAGAGAAACAGCGUGCUGGAAAUCGCUAUGAGCGCGAUCAGUUCGAUGGUCCUGGAAAUAAGAACUGCAGUGAGAACAACUGGCGAUUUGAUUGGUUCGUCGGGCACGAUGGAAAUCAAAAUCGUAAAGAUGUAAUUGAAGUUUAACUGUAGAUUUAGAAACAAUGAAAGAUGGAAGAGAAUUUUAUUAUGGAACGUC
Non-coding RNA from Nomia melanderi (Alkali bee), 380 nucleotides. NCBI's taxonomy places the organism in Eukaryota, Metazoa, Arthropoda, Insecta, Hymenoptera, Halictidae. The record is from RefSeq and is a predicted model, not a curated record.